GAUGAACGCUGGCGGCGUGCCUAAUACAUGCAAGUCGAGCGAACGGACGAGAAGCUUGCUUCUCUGAUGUUAGCGGCGGACGGGUGAGUAAAACGUGGAUAACCUACCUAUAAGACUGGGAUAACUUCGGGAAACCGGAGCUAAUACCGGAUAAUAUUUUGAACCGCAUGGUUCAAAAGUGAAAAACGGUCUUUCUGUCACUUAUAGAUGGAUCCGCGCUGCAUUAGCUAGUUGGUAAGGUAACGGCUUACCAAGGCAACGAUGCAUAGCCGACCUGAGAGGGUGAUCGGCCACACUGGAACUGAGACACGGUCCAGACUCCUACGGGAGGCAGCAGUAGGGAAUCUUCCGCAAUGGGCGAAAGCCUGACGGAGCAACGCCGCGUGAGUGAUGAAGGUCUUCGGAUCGUAAAACUCUGUUAUUAGGGAAGAACAUAUGUGUAAGUAACUGUGCACAUCUUGACGGUACCUAAUCAGAAAGCCACGGCUAACUACGUG
This 497-nucleotide ribosomal RNA is filed under the name uncultured bacterium. RNAcentral describes it as "partial 16S ribosomal RNA". It matches the Rfam family "Bacterial small subunit ribosomal RNA", at positions 28 to 507 of the family's 1533-position model. The record is from RNAcentral.